AAUACCCCAUAGUCUAUGGCAGCUGGAAUGCUCUAUAGUUGAAAGAUUUAUCGCCUUAGGAUGGGUCUGCGGCCGAUUAGGUAGUUGUUGGGGUAACGGCCCAACAAGCCUUUGAUCGGUACGGGUUGUGGGAGCAAGAGCCCGGAGAUGGAUUCUGAGACACGAAUCCAGGCCCUACGGGGCGCAGCAGGCGCGAAAACUUUACAAUGCGGGAAACCGUGAUAAGGGAACUCCGAGUGCCCGUAAACGCGGGCUGUCCAUCUGCUUAAAAAACAGGUGAAGAAAGGGCCGGGCAAGACCGGUGCCAGCCGCCGCGGUAAUACCGGCGGCUCGAGUGGUGGCCACUAUUACUGGGCUUAAAGCGUCCGUAGCUUGGUUGUUAAGUCUCUUGGGAAAUCUGUCGGCUUAACCGACAGGCGUUUAAGGGAUACUGGCAAUCUAGGGACCGGGAGAGGUGAGAGGUACUCCAGGGGUAGGAGUGAAAUCCUGUAACCCUUGGGGGACCACCUGUGGCGUAGGCGUCUCACCAGAACGGCUCCGACAGUGAGGGACGAAAGCUGGGGGAGCAAACCGGAUUAGAUACCCGGGUAGUCCCAGCCGUAAACGAUGCGCGUUAGGUGUAUCGGUGACCACGAGUCACCGAGGUGCCGAAGGGAAACCGUGAAACGUGCCGCCUGGGAAGUACGGUCGCAAGGCUGAAACUUAAAGGAAUUGGCGGGGGAGCA
This 725-nucleotide ribosomal RNA is filed under the name uncultured archaeon. RNAcentral's name for it is "bacterial SSU rRNA". It matches the Rfam family "Archaeal small subunit ribosomal RNA", at positions 148 to 878 of the family's 1478-position model. The record is from RNAcentral.